ACCCCUGUGACAUACCUAUCGUUGCUUCGGCGGGAUGCCCCAGUUUUGACUUAAAACUGGACCCAGGCGCCCGCCGGAGGACCCAAACUCUUGUUUUUAUAUGUAUCUUCUGAGUAAACAAGCAAAUAAAUUAAAACUUUCAACAACGGAUCUCUUGGUUCUGGCAUCGAUGAAGAACGCAGCGAAAUGCGAUAAGUAAUGUGAAUUGCAGAAUUCCGUGAAUCAUCGAAUCUUUGAACGCACAUUGCGCCCGCCAGUAUUCUGGCGGGCAUGCCUGUUCGAGCGUCAUUUCAACCCUCAAGCCCCCGGGCUUGGUGUUGGGGCUCGGCCCGUCCCUAGCGGAUGCGCCGUCCCCGAAAUCUAGUGGCGGUCUCGCUGUAGCCUCCUCUGCGUAGUAGCUAACACCUCGCAAUGGGAACGCAGCGCGGCCACGCCGUUAAACCCCCCACUUCUGAAGGUUGACCUCGGAUCAGGUAGGAAUACCCGCUGAACUUAAGCAUAUCAAUAAGCGGAGGA
RNAcentral lists this ribosomal RNA (516 nucleotides) under Fusicolla acetilerea. Its description in RNAcentral is "eukaryotic LSU rRNA". The stretch from base 135 to 288 matches the Rfam family "5.8S ribosomal RNA". Lineage: Eukaryota; Fungi; Ascomycota; Sordariomycetes; Hypocreales; Nectriaceae. The record is from RNAcentral.